UACGGAGGGUCCAAGCGUUGUCCGGAAUCACUGGGUGUAAAGGGUGUGUAGGCGGAUAUGUAAGUCAGGGGUGAAAGCCACCGGCCUAACCGGUGAACUGCCCUUGAUACUGCAUAUCUUGAGUCCUGGAGGGGUCACUAGAAUUCGUGGUGUAGCGGUGAAAUGCGUAGAUAUCACGAGGAAUACCAGAGGCGAAGGCGGGUGACUGGACAGGUACUGACGCUGAGGCACGAAAGCGUGGGGAGCAAACAGG
This 253-nucleotide ribosomal RNA is filed under the name uncultured bacterium. RNAcentral describes it as "partial 16S ribosomal RNA". It matches the Rfam family "Bacterial small subunit ribosomal RNA", at positions 524 to 776 of the family's 1533-position model. The record is from RNAcentral.